CCGCGCGCGUGUGUUGUAGCUCUGUCAAUCCUUGGAUUAGAACCAAUGACUGCUGCUUGUAGGAGGGCUGUCCAGGGCCAGAUUGUACAAUGGGCCUCAGUGCCAGAGUAUGAGUGGAGAUAAUUACGGAGAAGUCACACUCUCUCGCACCCUCCGCUUCCUUUUUGUGUCCUUCAGCAAAACAGUGGAUUUAAAUCUCCUCCUAGGAGCUUGAGAGCAACGCAAUCUAUCAGGGGGAAAAAAAAAGAAAAAGAAAGAAAGAAAGAAAAAAAACCCGAACCUGACAAAAAAGAAGAAAAAGAAGAGGAAAAAAAAAUCAUGAAAACCAUCCAGGCAAAAAUGCACAAUUCUAUCUCUUGGGCAAUCUUCACGGGGCUGGCUGCUCUGUGUCUCUUCCAAGGUAAGAGCUUGCUAUUGAUUUGCCUACGGUAGACCCAGGGAUUGUACAGUGUGCUUAAUAUGAUUCGCAGACUCCCGGAGUCGGUUCUGCUGCGCGGUUUGCAGGUGGAGGAGAGAGCGUUGAAACAGCAUGGCUGGGAC
RNAcentral lists this long non-coding RNA (540 nucleotides) under Marmota monax (woodchuck). The record is from RNAcentral. Lineage: Eukaryota; Metazoa; Chordata; Mammalia; Rodentia; Sciuridae.